UACAGAGAGUACAAGCGUUAUCCGGAUUUACUGGGCGUAAAGCGUUUCGUAGGUGAUUUACUAAGUUAUGUUUCAAAUAUCGGGGCUCAACCCCGAAAAGGGAUGUAAUACUGGUAGGAUAAGAAUUAUGUCGGGGCUAUUGGAACUGUCGGUGUAGGGGUGAAAUCCGUUGAUAUCGACAGGAACUCCGAGGGCGAAGGCAGAUAGCUAGGCAUAUAUUGACACUGAGGAACGAAAGCUAGGGGAGCGAAAGGG
This 255-nucleotide ribosomal RNA is filed under the name uncultured bacterium. Its description in RNAcentral is "partial 16S ribosomal RNA". It matches the Rfam family "Bacterial small subunit ribosomal RNA", at positions 524 to 776 of the family's 1533-position model. The record is from RNAcentral.